This 68-nucleotide unclassified non-coding RNA is filed under the name Flavobacterium noncentrifugens. RNAcentral's name for it is "Flavo-1 RNA". The record is from RNAcentral. Lineage: Bacteria; Pseudomonadati; Bacteroidota; Flavobacteriia; Flavobacteriales; Flavobacteriaceae.
CCCUAGCCCCGAUUGCGGCGGUAUCCUCGUAGCGCAGCGGAGAGAUAAAGCCAAAAGUGGGAUCAAGC